RNAcentral lists this ribosomal RNA (484 nucleotides) under uncultured bacterium. Its description in RNAcentral is "partial 16S ribosomal RNA". The stretch from base 50 to 484 matches the Rfam family "Bacterial small subunit ribosomal RNA", at positions 39 to 507 of the family's 1533-position model. The record is from RNAcentral.
GGGGGGGGGGGGGGGGGGGGCGGGGGGGGGGGGGUGGGGGGGGUGGAGGGAGGUGGGUGCUGGAUUCAGCGGCGGGCGGGUGCGUAAUGGCUAGGGAUGGGACUGGUAGUGGGGGAUAGCGGAGGGAAGCGGUGGAGAAUACCGGAUACGUCCUGGGGGAGAGGGUGGGGGAUCUUGUGGCGUCAGGCUGACAGAUGCGGCUAGGUCGGUUUGGACAGUGUGUGGGGUAAAGGCCUACCCAGGCGACGAUCCGUAAAUGGUCUGAGAGGAUGAUCAGUCACACUGGAACUGAGACACGGUCCAGACUCCUACGGGAGGCAGCAGUGGGGAAUAUUGGACAAUGGGCGAAAGCCUGAUCCAGCCAUGCCGCGUGUGUGAAGAAGGUCUUCGGAUUGUAAAGCACUUUAAGUUGGGAGGAAGGGCAGUAAGUUAAUACCUUGCUGUUUUGACGUUACCAACAGAAUAAGCACCGGCUAACUUCGUG